Molecule: ribosomal RNA, 190 nt
Filed under: Marmota monax (woodchuck)
Lineage: Eukaryota; Metazoa; Chordata; Mammalia; Rodentia; Sciuridae
Description: LSU_rRNA_eukarya
Rfam family: Bacterial large subunit ribosomal RNA
Source: RNAcentral
AUCAACGGAACAAGUUACCCUAGGGAUAACAGCGCAAUCCUAGUUCAUAUCGACAGUUAGGGUUUACGACCUCGAUGUUGGAUCAGGACAUCCAAAUGGUGUAACCACUAUUAAUGGUACUAUUAAUGGUUCGUUUGUUCAACUAUUAAAGUCCUACGUGAUCUGAGUUCAGACCGGAGAAAUCCAGGUC